CAUAUGUAUGUGCCGCUGCGGGUUGCAUACAGAGUGCUCGCAUGUGUCUAGGUGCGAUUGGGUGCCAACAACUACAUGUUGUCAAGCGAAGCGGUUUUUUUUCUUUAAUUUGAGAUAUCCACGUGGCUUAAAUGCAAAACUAAGUUUAGCAAAUGGAAUUGAGUUGUGUGGCAUUUCAGUAUGCCCUUAUAAAGUUUACUAAAAUCGAAAGAUGAAAUUGAGCAAUAUAAACUACAGAGGAGGUGGAGGCGACAUUGCAAAUGAUACUUGAGCUGGCAUAUAUAUGUUACUUGCACUCCAUAGAUUUAGGCAUGGGUGGCCUCUGGAAGCUAUAUAGCACCAACCACCAACAGAUCCAGGCCCAGCUUCCUGGUCUCACCGACUCGCUGAAAAUCUAUAAAACAACAUGUUAAUAAGUAGCUACCGAUA
This 429-nucleotide long non-coding RNA is filed under the name Oryza brachyantha (malo sina). RNAcentral's name for it is "long non-coding RNA (OBRA_LNC003267)". The record is from RNAcentral. Lineage: Eukaryota; Viridiplantae; Streptophyta; Magnoliopsida; Poales; Poaceae.